CCUACGGGUGGCAGCAGUGAGGAAUAUUGGUCAAUGGACGAGAGUCUGAACCAGCCAAGUAGCGUGAAGGAUGACUGCCCUAUGGGUUGUAAACUUCUUUUAUAAAGGAAUAAAACGAGGCACGUGUGCCUUUUUGCAUGUACUUUAUGAAUAAGGAUCGGCUAACUCCGUGCCAGGAGCCGCGGUAAUACGGAGGAUCCGAGCGUUAUCCGGAUUUAUUGGGUUUAAAGGGAGCGUAGAUGGGUUGUUAAGUCAGUUGUGAAAGUUUGGGGCUCAACCGUAAAAUGGCAAUUGAUACUGGCAGUCUUGAGUACAGUUGAGGUAGGCGGAAUUCGUGGUGUAGCGGUGAAAUGCUUAGAUAUCACGAAGAACCCCGAUUGCGAAGGCAGCUUACUAAACUGUGACUGACAUUGAUGCUCGAAAGUGUGGGGAUCAAACAGGAUUAGAUACCCUAGUAGUC
RNAcentral lists this ribosomal RNA (460 nucleotides) under uncultured bacterium. Its description in RNAcentral is "partial 16S ribosomal RNA". It matches the Rfam family "Bacterial small subunit ribosomal RNA", at positions 338 to 795 of the family's 1533-position model. The record is from RNAcentral.